GCUUGUCUCAAAGAUUAAGCCAUGCAUGUCUUAGUGUAAAUAACUCUUAUGAAACUGCGAAUGGCUCAUUAAAUCAGUUAUCGUUUAUUUGAUGGUCCCUUACUACAUGGAUAACCGUAGUAAUUCUAGAGCUAAUACAUGCAGUCAGACCUGGCUCAAGGGUCGUAAUUAUUAGUACCAAACCAAUUCCGCGAGGAAUGUGUUGAAUCAUAGUAAUCGAACGAAUCGCAGGUAUAUGCGAUAAAUCAUUCAAGUUUCUGCCCUAUCAGCUUUGGAUGGUAGUGUAUUGGACUACCAUGGCAGUCACGGGUAACGGAGAAUUAGGGUUCGAUUCCGGAGAGGGAGCCUGAGAAACGGCUACCACAUCUAAGGAAGGCAGCAGG
RNAcentral lists this ribosomal RNA (383 nucleotides) under uncultured Vorticella. RNAcentral's name for it is "partial small subunit ribosomal RNA". It matches the Rfam family "Eukaryotic small subunit ribosomal RNA", at positions 30 to 432 of the family's 1831-position model. Lineage: Eukaryota; Ciliophora; Oligohymenophorea; Sessilida; Vorticellidae. The record is from RNAcentral.